This is a long non-coding RNA of Daphnia pulicaria, 2036 nucleotides long. RefSeq lists it as uncharacterized. The record is from RefSeq and is a predicted model, not a curated record. NCBI's taxonomy places the organism in Eukaryota, Metazoa, Arthropoda, Branchiopoda, Diplostraca, Daphniidae. The transcript is spliced from 5 exons.
UCUAUAUUUUUUUUUAUGAGUAAAAUAUUGGAUAAAUAGGAAUGAAUUUGAUCAACAUUUAUUCACAUCCAAUAAAAUGCCCCGUCGCCCGCUACCAACUUGGGAACUUGCCCACAUUCCCUAAUUUUGUAAACGACAAUCCGCGGGCUAUUUCAAACGUGAAUAAUGGCAAGAUCCCUAAAGAAAUUCGGAUUCUGGAAUAUGUUACGUCAAAGAAAAAAAUUCGUGGGCAAAACCUAGUUUUAUUGUAUUAUCCAGUUUUAUUCGAUUUGUUUAGUCCUAUUUGGUUUUAUUUUAUUUAGUUUGGUUUUUUUAAGAUAAAUUCAAUUUAAAAAAUUGAUAAUAAUUUUCAACUCAUUUUCGCAAUUUGGCAAAUCCAAAACCUGGCAUCCCCUUUGUCAUUGAUCAUUGCAGACUACAAUUUAGCGAACGACACAUGAAAGAUGGAAAAUGAAACGUCUUUUUCUUAAAAAUUAAAUGUUUGAGAGUGCGUGAAAAUACUAGAAAUCAUUGAUAAAACCUACAAGGAAGCCAAACAACAACGGACAUUCUACUAUUUUGACAGGAAAAGAAACUUCUCUUUAACGCUUACACUCCAAGUGGCGGCGUUGUUGAUGAAAAAGUACAUCGCGGGAAUCCCAAAAAGAAAUGCACAGACCAUGUGAAAUAUCGCGUGACACAAGAUCUUCUCGCCAUGCCACACUUUCAUGAAGAUGUAGAAAGUGAAAUACAAAAACAGAUUAGUGACGAGGAUUCCAAGCAUGUAGGAAGCGAAAUCUGGAGGACGGUACACCAAUCCAUACAUCGCCCAACCCAUAUUGAUGCGUCAGACAUUUGAUCAACACCGAUUAAGUCCGGAGAGGAACAUGAGAGUGAAUUAAGAAGUUCUGAUUCCACAUCCGUCGAGUCAAGAGUUGGACUAAUGGCAGCUUUGGAAUGUAAAGUAAAUUAUAGAAAUUAAAUUAUAAAAUUGAUUUUGAUUUAUUUUCUAAAUUACGAGCGGCUGUGGGACUAUGACUUGAAGCUGUGUUCUCUACUUCAACUAAACUCGGCUCCAGUAGUUCAGCGGGUACGGUACUAUAGAAAGAAAGGACAACAAAAGAGACGAAAAAGCAUUAGCAUAUUGACGUGCAAUUAUUAAGGAAAUUACUUACUUUCCACAAUUGAAACAAAAUGAUACGAAAACUCCAAUAUAGAAGAUAGCAAAUAUUCCUAAAACUCCGAAAACAGCGUAUCUGUAAUUAUCGUAACUAACCUAGAUUCGAUCAGUGGAUGAAACAGAAAUUCGUCGUGAAACAACAAUACGCAAUUAUUGCGAUGAAGCUGUGCGCUUGCCUGUGCAUUCAUAAUCGUCAGCCUUGACGACGAAAACAACGAAGAAUCCAUCGGGGAAUCGUUCUCGCUGAACAGAAUAUAAACACAGAGGCGGGAACGAGGUUCAUAAAUUGGCCGCGCUGCUUCCCCACAUCCGGUUCUCACAGUUUGGCACAUCUGCAUUCUGCAAAACUACAAAAACAACCUACUAACAAAACCUCAAAUACAAUAUGGCGUUUAAUUAAAGUAUGACUUAUUGGAAUGUUUGAUUGUAAUAACUAAUAAGCAUUUUACAAAAGAGUCCAUACUCCAUUCAUGUAAAGUUUACUUUUUUUCUCGAUUGCCCGUGUAGCACGUAUAAUUCAUUGGUGUCUCGUCUCCUAACACGUGAUUGAAACCUGUUGAAACAAUGACAGUCAAGACAAGGAAACGUUUAGAGCAUUCUAGAAUUUACAAAUUUACAUCGAUUUAAGAAAUGAGGCGUGGAUUGUUUUUCGCCACUGUAUUUCCAACCUCUCCAUGUCGAAAGAAGAGUAUUGUUUAUCUCAACUGCUGAUUUACUACCAUUCCUUCUUCUGGAUUUCUGUGUGAACCAAGAGAUUAUCAGGUGACAGUUGUUGAAUGUUUUCUUGUGUUUACUUAAAUAAAAAUGAUAAGAUUUCCCUUAUGAUUUAAUUUUAAUAUGGAAUUUCCUUCAUCAUCUGUUUUAUUUAUGUAACCAG